RNAcentral lists this ribosomal RNA (756 nucleotides) under uncultured Thermaceae bacterium. Its description in RNAcentral is "bacterial SSU rRNA". It matches the Rfam family "Bacterial small subunit ribosomal RNA", at positions 578 to 1338 of the family's 1533-position model. The record is from RNAcentral. Lineage: Bacteria; Thermotogati; Deinococcota; Deinococci; Thermales; Thermaceae.
GUCUUUCAAGUCCGAUGCUAAAGACUGGGGCUCAACCCCAGGGGUGCGUUGGAUACUGUGAGGCUAGACGGUCGGAGGGGGUAGCGGAAUUUCCGGAGUAGCGGUGAAAUGCGCAGAUACCGGAAGGAACGCCAAUAGCGAAGGCAGCUACCUGGACGACUUGUGACGCUGAGGCGCGAAAGCGUGGGGAGCAAACCGGAUUAGAUACCCGGGUAGUCCACGCCCUAAACCAUGAGUGCUGGGUGUCCGGCUUCUGCUGGGUGCCGUAGCUAACGCGCUAAGCACUCCGCCUGGGAAGUACGCACGCAAGUGUGAAACUCAAAGGAAUUGACGGGGGCCCGCACAAGCGGUGGAGCAUGUGGUUUAAUUCGAAGCGACGCGAAGAACCUUACCAGGCCUUGACAUGCCCGGAACCCCUCUGAAAGGAGGGGGUGCCCGCAAGGGAGCCGGGACACAGGUGCUGCAUGGCCGUCGUCAGCUCGUGUCGUGAGAUGUUGGGUUAAGUCCCGCAACGAGCGCAACCCCUAUCCCUAGUUGCCAGCAGUUCGGCUGGGCACUCUAUGGAGACUGCCUGCGAAAGCAGGAGGAAGGCGGGGAUGACGUCUGGUCCGCAUGGCCCUUACGGCCUGGGCGACACACGUGCUACAAUGCCAAGGACAGAGCGCUGCUACCUCGCGAGAGGACGCCAAUCGCAAAAACCUUGGCUCAGUUCGGAUUGGAGUCUGCAACUCGACUCCAUGAAGCCGGAAUCGCUAG